UGGAAUUCCAUUGAAGUGCUAUGGCUUUCAUGAAGCAUGAAAUUGUGGUUUUGACAUGAGAAUUCUAAUAUGGUCUUAGUUAGGGGACCUGCAAUGCAAACAUAAGUUGGUCAGAGAAAGGUUACAAUAAAGACUCUUCGAUGCUCAAGGUAGAGAGGAAAUUAUUUUAUAGUGAUAGAGAGAUAAUAACUAUGUAGAGAGAGAGAGGAGAAGGAACUCUUUCUUGUGUUUAACUGACCCUAUUUGUAGGAAAAGUAAUAUGAGCCUACUCUUUGGUAUAUUUUAUGAAA
RNAcentral lists this unclassified non-coding RNA (290 nucleotides) under Hevea brasiliensis (rubber tree). Lineage: Eukaryota; Viridiplantae; Streptophyta; Magnoliopsida; Malpighiales; Euphorbiaceae. The record is from RNAcentral.